RNAcentral lists this ribosomal RNA (1017 nucleotides) under Triticum aestivum (bread wheat). RNAcentral's name for it is "partial small subunit ribosomal RNA". Lineage: Eukaryota; Viridiplantae; Streptophyta; Magnoliopsida; Poales; Poaceae. The record is from RNAcentral.
UUCGGCGAGCUAGUUCUUCGGUCUGGCUGGGAUGCAUUUGUUACUGCACACCAUGUAGAAGAAAAUGACACAUUCUUGUUCAUCUACCAUGGGAACUCCAACUUUGAGAUUCAUAUAUUUAAUUCACGCGGUUGCGAGAAGAUGGCUUCCUGCUUUCAACCACCUUCAGAGAUCUUUGGAGCCUUUCCUCCCAGUGAGCCUUGUGAUCAUCAUGUGCUGAAUGAACAAGCUGCACCUAAUCCAAGACAUGUUCAGACGCAAGUUGAGUUUGACUAUACCAUGUCAACUGGAUGCCAUCUAACCAAAUCACAAGAUGAGAAAGUUGUAGAAAUAGCCCGCAAAAUAAGGUCUGAGAUUCCUUUGUAUGUGGCAAUCAUGAAUAAACUUAAUGUCAACGUGAAGGACUGCUCUAUCAACAUACCAUUGAGGCUCGUGAGCCAUUUAAAAGAGGAGGUAGGUAGUGCUAUUAUCAAACUAGAAGCACCUGAUGGUAACAUAUACAAUGUUCGAGCUAGAAAGCACAGCGAGGAUCAAGUUGUCCUCCAGUCUGACUGGGAUGCUUUUGUAGCUGCUAAUCACAUACAGUUGAACGACCUCCUCAUUUUCCAUAGCAAGGGAAAAACUCGUCUCAAAGUUCUCGCACUGGACCCAAGUGGCUGUGAAAAAAACUCAUCAUGCUUUUACACAAAAUUCGCCAAGACUGGUGAAGGUUCAGUUCAUAUUACUGAUGCACACCCUUGUACAGUUGAAAUUAUUGAUCUGACCAGCUCUGACGAUGAUCACACUGAGAGAGAAGAUGUUGGAAGAUCAUUUUGGAGGCAGAAGCAGGUGCCAGGUUUUCAUGCAAAAGCUCGGAAGAUGGCUUCAGCGUCAUCCCCAUCUACAGAAUCAGGAUCUGAUACUCACAAGCUGAAACGUCCCAUCUCCAACAAUGCCAAUCUUCAGGGGCCUUCUAGGCCUCCCUAUAUUUUAGCCAGAGGGAUAACUCUAACCGGCCGUGUGGAGAAGAAAGUUUAG